This is a long non-coding RNA of Fukomys damarensis (Damara mole-rat), 344 nucleotides long. RefSeq lists it as uncharacterized. The record is from RefSeq and is a predicted model, not a curated record. NCBI's taxonomy places the organism in Eukaryota, Metazoa, Chordata, Mammalia, Rodentia, Bathyergidae. The transcript is spliced from 3 exons.
CUUUGUUUUUCUGAGACAGGGUCUUGCUAUGUAGUCCAGGCAGGUCUUGGACUACUCUGUGGCCUAUACUGGCCUCUAACUCACAGGAACUUGCAGCAAUCCUCCUGCCUCAGCCUCCACAGUACUGGAAUUACAGGCAUACAAUACACCAUCAUGCCUGGCUAAUAGAAGUGAACUUGAAGAGACCCGGUGUCAAGAUGGAGACAUGAUGGACAGGGCUGCUGUAGUCCGUAAAAUGCAGCUGUUGCUUUUAGAGACCGGCCUUGGAGUUGAAAACUUCAAAGGCGGCAGAUAUGCUGUGGUGACUACAUGAGACACUCAAAAGCACCUCACUUGUUCCUGGG